Molecule: long non-coding RNA, 896 nt
Filed under: Homo sapiens (human)
Lineage: Eukaryota; Metazoa; Chordata; Mammalia; Primates; Hominidae
Description: long independently transcribed non-coding RNA 1808, transcript variant 4 (LINC01808)
Source: RNAcentral
AUGGGGAGUGGGAAGGUUCUGGGAGGGCAUAUGGCACCCAGAAUAUGGCUGUAGGCAUUUGUAAAUGGGGUUGUUGACAUUGAGCUUUCAGGAAGAGAAGAUUAAGACACAGAGAUACCAGAGAGGUCGUUCACAGAGGAAAGACCAUGUGAAGACGCAGUGAGAAGGUGGCCAUAUUCAAGCUGAGGAGAGAGACCUCAGAAGAAACCAAUACUGCCAACGCCUUGGUCUUGGACUUCCAGCCUCCAGAACUUUUGCCUCCCAUAUUUUUAUGAUGCCUUUUGAAAGCAUUCUUAAUGGUCCUGGAUCAGAAGAUGCCUGACAAGAGGCCACUAUCAGCAGCAACAGCACAGUGGGGACAAACCUGAGACCUUGAUGGACCGUGGACACCAGCAGGAGAGACAGAGGAACUUGAAGUCUAAAUGGGCAGACAAGACCAACAUACACAAAGCAGAGAGUGGCACAAGAGCCAUGUCUGAUGCAACAGUGACUCAGGAGGAUCACUCUGACUCAGAAUGGCCAAGCAAAGGUAUUGGGAGGAAGUGGGAUAGAACUGAGCUUUGAAGACCGUGCUAAAAUAUUUACAGACUCCCCAGGUUAUCUCAAGUUCUCUCCAGGAAUUAGCUUCACCUCUUUGUGCUUUGGCUCCACAUCAGUUAAAUAGUGGUAACGUUUGAUCGUUAAGAACCAUGUAGAGAUGAAACAAUUUUCAAAGUUUUUUAAUUAAGUGUACUCAUUGCCACUCAAAGACAAAUACCAUAUAAAUAUAAUAAUAAUCAUAUUGAGAAACAAAAUAGCAAUGAUGCAGAUACUCAUGUACUGUUUCAUGUUUGUGGUCUUUGAGGGGAGUUUUUACUCAAAUAUCCCUAGAUGAAUAAAUACAUAUGGUCUAUAAA